UAUAAAACUUAAGAAUAAGUGAUGAAGUUUAAUUUCCGAGCUUGGGGACAAAAGUGUAAUUAUGCAAAAGUUUGGGGGCAAAAUUGUAAUUUUCAAAAAGUUGGGUGGUGGAUUAUUUUAAUAAAUGUGAAUAAUAAACGAGUUAAAUUUGCUAUUAUAGAUCAAGAAAGACGUGAAGAGUAUAUCAAACGGGGAAAAGAAAAGAUAGUGGAGUAAAGUGCAAAAUUACGAUAUUUUGCACCGAGUGACUUCCAACAACUCGGAAAUUGGAACGAAGUCAGACAAUCAUCUACACUAUCCUUCACAUUUGGGGUAUUUUACUACUAGUGUUCCGAAAUUUUAUGGCAUGUAUAGACAAUUUAUGUAAUGUGGGAUCAUCAUGUAAAUAUAUGUUAUGGUUCCCUUUUAAAUGUAGUGUUUAUUAAUAGUUAAACUAUAUGUGUGUUUAUACAAAUGAAA
Molecule: long non-coding RNA, 459 nt
Organism: Gossypium raimondii (Peruvian cotton)
Lineage: Eukaryota; Viridiplantae; Streptophyta; Magnoliopsida; Malvales; Malvaceae
Exons: 2
Source: RefSeq, a predicted model, not a curated record